AACAAACGCUGGCGGCGUGCCUAAUACAUGCAAGUCGAACGGGGAAAGCUUUCGGGUGAGUACUAGUGGCGCACGGGUGAGGAACGCGUGGAUAAUCUGCCUUAGAGUGGGGGAUAACUAGUCGAAAGAUUAGCUAAUACCGCAUAAGACCACGAGAGCUGCGGCUUUUGAGGUCAAAGGUUUUUCGCUCUAAGAUGAGUCCGCGUAAGAUUAGCUAGUUGGUGAGGUAACGGCUCACCAAGGCGACGAUCUUUAACUGGUCUGAGAGGAUGAUCAGUCACACUGGAACUGAGACGCGGUACAGACGCCUACGGGAGGCAGCAGUAGGGAAUAUUGCACAAUGGAGGAGACUCUGAUGCAGCGACGCCGCGUGAGUGAUGAAGGCCUUCGGGUCGUAAAGCUCUGUCGCAGGGGAAUAACACAAUGAAGGUACCCUGUAAGAAAGGAUCGGCUAACUUCGUG
RNAcentral lists this ribosomal RNA (462 nucleotides) under uncultured bacterium. RNAcentral's name for it is "partial 16S ribosomal RNA". It matches the Rfam family "Bacterial small subunit ribosomal RNA", at positions 29 to 507 of the family's 1533-position model. The record is from RNAcentral.